UACGGAGGGUGCGAGCGUUGUCCGGAAUCACUGGGCGUAAAGGGCGCGUAGGCGGCCUGAUAAGUAGGGGGUGAAAUCUUGCGGCUUAACCGCAAGGCUGCCUUCUAAACUGUCAGGCUAGAGCACAGUAGAGGCAGGUGGAAUUCCCGGUGUAGCGGUGGAAUGCGUAGAGAUCGGGAAGAACAUCAGUGACGAAGGCGGCCUGCUGGGCUGUUGCUGACGCUGAGGCGCGACAGCGUGGGGAGCAAACAGG
RNAcentral lists this ribosomal RNA (253 nucleotides) under uncultured bacterium. Its description in RNAcentral is "partial 16S ribosomal RNA". It matches the Rfam family "Bacterial small subunit ribosomal RNA", at positions 524 to 776 of the family's 1533-position model. The record is from RNAcentral.